RNAcentral lists this transfer RNA (88 nucleotides) under Prevotella sp. Its description in RNAcentral is "tRNA-Ser". It matches the Rfam family "tRNA". From Rfam's summary of the family: Transfer RNA (tRNA) molecules are approximately 80 nucleotides in length. RNAcentral also lists the same sequence under 1 other name. Lineage: Bacteria; Pseudomonadati; Bacteroidota; Bacteroidia; Bacteroidales; Prevotellaceae. The record is from RNAcentral.
GGAAAGAUGCUCGAGUGGUUGAAGAGGCACGCCUGGAAAGCGUGUAAACGCCCAAAGCGUUUCACGGGUUCGAAUCCCGUUCUUUCCG